GGGGCCAUAGCUCAGUUGGGAGAGCAUCUGCCUUGCAAGCAGAGGGUCGGCGGUUCGACUCCGCCUGGCUCCAUCA
This 76-nucleotide transfer RNA is filed under the name Coxiella endosymbiont of Amblyomma sculptum. RNAcentral describes it as "tRNA-Ala". It matches the Rfam family "tRNA". From Rfam's summary of the family: Transfer RNA (tRNA) molecules are approximately 80 nucleotides in length. Their secondary structure includes four short double-helical elements and three loops (D, anti-codon, and T loops). Lineage: Bacteria; Pseudomonadati; Pseudomonadota; Gammaproteobacteria; Legionellales; Coxiellaceae. The record is from RNAcentral.